UACGAAGGGGGCUAGCGUUGCUCGGAAUUACUGGGCGUAAAGGGCGCGUAGGCGGACAGUUUAGUCAGAGGUGAGAGCCCAGGGCUCAACCUUGGAACUGCCUUUGAUACUGACUGUCUUGAGUUCGGGAGAGGUGAGUGGAAUGCCGAGUGUAGAGGUGAAAUUCGUAGAUAUUCGGCGGAACACCAGUGGCGAAGGCGACUCACUGGCCCGAUACUGACGCUGAGGCGCGAAAGCGUGGGGAGCAAACAGG
RNAcentral lists this ribosomal RNA (253 nucleotides) under uncultured bacterium. RNAcentral's name for it is "partial 16S ribosomal RNA". It matches the Rfam family "Bacterial small subunit ribosomal RNA", at positions 524 to 776 of the family's 1533-position model. The record is from RNAcentral.